Molecule: long non-coding RNA, 7746 nt
Organism: Acanthochromis polyacanthus (spiny chromis)
Lineage: Eukaryota; Metazoa; Chordata; Actinopteri; Pomacentridae
Exons: 2
Source: RefSeq, a predicted model, not a curated record
GUUUCAAUCCAUUACUUUUUAAACAUUAUUUUUUUGCCUGACUGGAUGAACAUUGUUUCCAUGUUUAUUCAGAAGACACUGUAACAAAAUUGAAAAUAAAAAUAUCAAUGUUGAAGGCCUACUGUAGACUUUAUCAAGAAAGCAAAAAGUGGUCUAUUAAUUAUUUCCAAAGCUAUAUGUCCUCCAGAUGUGAUUACUUGGUGUCUUGGAUUUUGAAGGCAGAGCAUGUCUAGAACUGACUUGUCUCUGGAGAGAAGUGGAGGUGUGGAGGGAACAGAGUUAGAGCUGGCAAACAUGACCCUUCCCCCCAGCUAGUUCCGCCACAGCGAGGUAAGAGACUUAUUCACCCUCCCUAAAACACAUCCACAAUCUAGGAAUGAGGAACUGAUAAGAUAUGGGUUUUAAAACCACACUGACCUUCAUGUAAUAAACUUUUUAUUGAACAACCAGUAUGACAAUAUUGUUACGAAAGGUGUGCCUUAAGUUUCAUUCUGAUAAAAUAUAUUGUUCUCACAGUGGUUUCACUUUGCAUUAGCAAGUAUAUCUAUCUAUCUAUCUAUCUAUCUAUCUAUCUAUCUAGCUAUCUAGCUAUCUAGCUAUCUAUCUAAGCAAUAAAAAAUGCUUUACCUUUGUCUGCAAGCUAUUAUAUAAAUCUGACACUUUGAAUCUUUAUUAGUUAGAAAUAAAAUACCCCUCCUUUUUUUUUUAAGAAACUUUAAAACAAAAACAAAAUAUGUCAUAACCAACACAUGCUUAGGUGAGAAGGAAGCACCUGUCAUUUCUUAGAUGGGUUGCUAGGACAAAGUGUCCCCAGGCGUCCCCGUUGUUUGCUCUCCCUCUUUGAUGGAUAACGCUAUCACUGGAUUCAAUCUAAGGCAAGGAAGUAGCUACUUGCACAAUGGGGAUAUUACCGGUUCAAGACUUAAACUCUUAUGAGUAGCUGCCGGUAAAUGAACCAUAUCCAUGUCAGAGCAUUUCUCAUUCCUUGGUUGACUGUGUGACAGUGGGUUUUGGCACUCAAACCGAAAACAUGAUGGGUCUAUUAGGUUCAAGCCAUCAGGAUACAAAAAGAUUUGCUUUGAAAUGCUGUUUUUGGCAUUGUGCAAUUCAUGUAGUUGAUAUUUGAUAUAACAAGAUAGUGGGGAUCAAUAGAUAUGCUGUUUUCAGGACAGACACUGAUACUGAAUAUUAGCAAUCAAAGAGACCACAGGAUGAAAUUUGGAACUAGUACAUUUGCAGUUGAAAUAAAAAUGUUGGUGUCAAAGUGCUGGUUAAAAUGAAAAAUGACACAUAAUUUCAUUACUAAUGCUUUUGUAUAUUCAUGUUUUAUAUGUGUUUUUUAGGAGAACUUUUCCACAUUAGUCCUACAGUGUUGCUGUUACUUAGAAAGGAGAGAGAGAAGAACUUUAUUGUCAUUGCACACUUUCAUAUACAAUGAAAUUACUUAUAACUAGUAAUCAAACAGACAGAGCUGUGGAUGGGACAUUGACUGAGACCACAAAGUCGUGACUACAGACAGGAAGAAGUGGCUGUAUCAGAGCCAACACAACAUAUUUUGAAAUGCACGUAUAUAACAGAAACUGUUUUUAAAAAUAAUAAUACUUAUUAACAGAAAAAUGCUGAAUACCAGAUCACCUAGGGUAGAGAGCAGUCAGUGAUCUUUUAGACAGAGGUCUUUACAGGGGAAAAUGUACUAUAAUCUACUGACAAGGUACAGUGUUUGCUGGUAAAGAACCUUUAUUCAAUAUACAAGCCUCUGGGCAUGCCAUUAAAUUGUAAUUCUUCUGUUUUUCACCAAGCGUUUAAGAUCUAAGCUUGUACAAAUGAAAACCAAACAAAGCUGAACAUUUUAAUCAGUUUUGCCUGGAUUGGAGGCAUAAGCACCAGCAGACAACCAAACACGUUCUUAAAAAAGAAUUUAACACCUCGGAAAUCCCCAUUCAUACAGCAUAGCACGGUGUAGCCCACUUUCCUGACUGAUGUAAAAUGCUUAUAUAAUUUGCAAAUAUAAGAUGUGCUCUGUCAUCCAGGUUUUUCCAGUUUGUCACAGAGGACCGACAUGUGCUGUGGGUGAGUCAUUCUGCUUCACUCGUCUCUCCUUCUCCAGGUGAACAGUCUUUGAUGGUUUGUCACAGGUCGGAUCCAUCCCCAGAGGCUAACAUCAGUCAGCCUUUGCCCACAACCUAGUGAGUCCAGCUGUCUUGGCAUCAGUCAGCUGAGUACAUGGAAAUCCCCAGCUGACAGACUGCAUCCUGAUAGAUUUUUUUUUUUAACUCCAUUAUUAUUAGUGUUUUGGAAGCAAUUACCAUAACACUGACAGCAUUUAUCACCCAACAAGAAAGCAUUGUCACUCAUAACAAAAUGAUCCAUAAAGAACUGACAGGGAGUAGCAUUGCACUGUGCAUUAUGGAUGUUUUGGAAGUUACAUCGUGGAUUGUGCUACCACAUUAUUUAUGUUACAGAAGUUAAUCAGACCCUUUACAUUAUGGCUUACUAGGCUUUGUUACUGUAAAAUAUUUCCAGAAAUACAAAACAACAUAAACAUUCAGAUGUAUAGACACAUUCAUUUAUAUAUCAUACAUGAAUUAGAAGAGCUAAUACAAGUAGGUGUCUGUGUGGUCUAUUUUGUUCUAAUCUAUUCAUGCUGAUGAAGUCCAGUCUAGUCUGUUUUGCUGUGUCUAUGUGAGCCACCGGGCAGUAAGGCCACCUGCAUGCACACACACACACAGAGCUACCAAAUGGAUACACAACAUCACAAGCUACAGGUGGCUCCAUAAACAGGUUUGGGUCUGCAUUAGCUGUGAACUGGUGGCUUAUGAUGGUAAUAACUGGUUCCAAAUGCCCUCAUACUUAGGCAUUUUGUUGUUAAAACGGGCCAGAAAAUAAAACUAAACAGCACACAUGGUAGGUCUAGUCACUAUAAUGUGUGGCACAACUGACAGUCAGAAAGUAUGAAACUAAGAUGUGUAUGACCUACAAUUCUAGUCAAGGUUUUUCAUGUGGUAUGCAAAUGUGCUGACCAAGCUACCAGGAGACACAGUUAUUUAAAAAAAAAUUACUGAUCCUUUAGGUUUUGGUUUUAACUUUGUUUUUUGCAAGAACAAUGUAGAAAUCACAUGCAUACAAACAGGAGGAUUAUUUUUGAAAUUACAUUUUUUUGAUUGCAUAAACACUAAAAUCAAAGUAUUACACAAUUAUCAAAACCUUACACUCAAGGAGCAAAACACCGGACCAGAUUAGCACAACUAUAAGCACAAUGUCAGCUUCACACUUUUUGCAAACCAAUGCACACAGUGAAUUGCAAAACAGUAAACACACUUAUAAACAUUCGACACAGAUGCACAUCAUGAUUAGCCUAGCCGCGCUAGACAACCCACGGCAACGAAUUUAAUUCUCUGCCAGGGUGGGUCUAGUUACCCUCCAUAAGGCUCGAGGCUGGAUUCUCCUAAAACUGGCCGGACGAAUCACCAUGAAGUGUAGAGUCAGAAGGCGGGCGUAACUAAGUGACGACAGAGGCGCGACGAUUCUGACAGAAACAACCGGAAACAACUAGCCUAGCCGUGCUAGACAACCCAUGGCAACGAAUUUAAUUCUCUGCCAGGGUCGACAACAAAAACGACAACAGUCGUUGAGCUCCAUUAGCACCGACUCUGAAUAAUCUUUCUGUUAACAUGUCUGUAAUAUACUUGAGCUUCACCCAUUGGCUGUAUAAAUAAGGCUUCACCAAACUACCGCAUCCUCUGAUUUCCGGCGCUCGAGGAGCCUAUUCAUUGCGCUGAUUGGUUGUAUACCUACCCAAUUGCUGCAGAGUGAUUUGAUAGACAACCUUUUAGCCCGCCUCCCUCCCUGUCGAGCGUGCCUAGACCCUUGUGCCUUCAGAACAUGGGUCUAGCGCGGCUAGGCUACAUCAUGAUGUCACUUCCUUGCAAAUUCCAAAGCACUGACUUUCAAAUGACCACAGCCAUUAGUUGAUUAAACACAACACUCAGGUGCACAAACACAUGAUUGCUUAAUUGUAGACACACCAAUCAGGUUUAAGCACUAUAAAAAGAUAGCAGGUGAGCUCACCUGUCCAGCUUCAAUCAUGGAAUGAGUAAGAUGAGGAAGAGUGACAAUGAGAGGAGGAAUACAAAGAGAAGGAGAAGGAGGUAGAGAAAGAGGUGGAGGCAGAGGCUGUGCUAGAGGUCAACGCUGAGGUGGAGGUACAGGAAGACCUGAAGCAGGAAUGCAUGCUCUAAGAAGGAGAGGACUAAAUUUGUCAAAUGAAAUUCAGGCAACAUUAGUUGACCAUGUGGUGAACCACGGACUGACGCUGAAGGAGGCUGGACUGAGAGUUCAGCCAACUCUUAGCAGAUAUACAAUGGCAUCUGUGAUCAGGACGUUUCCACAAGAAAACAGGUAAAAACAAAUCUUUCUACAAAAGUAAUCAGUUACUUAGUAUGUACCAUAUCAGCACUGUUCAUACUGGUUCCUGUGAGAUUUUACAACAGGGUACAUGUAUUUUCGUCACACAUAGGAUUCAGGGGUGAGAGCGACAAGGAGGAAGGGCACCUAUUUUCACACCAGGGCAAGAAAGAGCAAUCAUAGACAUGGUUCUAGCCAAUACUGCAACAAGGCUCAGAGAAAUUUAAGUCAACAUCACUGGUGAUGAUAGUGUUUUUCAGUAAUGUUCAUCAGGUCUCUCUAUCAGCACUGACACGCAUCCUGAAAAAAAAUCAGCUUCAAAUGAAACAACUGUAUCGAGUGCCUUUUGAGCGGAAUUCGGAGAGGGCAUGCAUGUGUGGAGGUACGUAUUGUUCACUUUAGAACUGUGGUGUUACACACUGCACAUGUACCCUAAAUUUGCUGUGUGUUAGAUGAUCCAUGCUAAGCUACACAAUCUUGUCUUUCACUGUAUUACAGAGAGUUUUACAGAUGGAUGCUGAAGAAAUCCCACACAAGUUUAUCUACAUUGAUGAGGAAGGGUUUAAGCUGACAAAAUCAGGAACAAGAGGCAGAAACAUCACUGGCCAUAGGGCUGUAAUCAAUGUCCCAGGGCAGCGUGGGAGUAACAUCACCCUCUGCGCUGCCAUUACACAGAAAUGGGGUCCUUCUCCAUCAUGCCAAUAUGGGCCCUUAUAACACACCUCACAUUCUGACAUUUCUGGACCAAUUGCACAACAUCCUGACAGUGAACCAAAUAAAACAGAUGCGUUAUAUAUUGUCAUGUGGGACAAUGUAUCAUUCCACCACUCUGCACAGGUCCAUAACUGGUUUCAGCACAUUCUUCAAUUUUCUGUGUUAUACCUUCCACCAUACUACCCAUUUCUCAAUCCAAUCGAGGAGUUCUUUUCAACAUGGUGGUGGAAGGUUUAUGAUCUCCAGCCCCAGGCUCAGGUGCCCCUCAUCCAGGCCAUGGAGGAGGCCUGUGACCAAAUUGACGCCAUUCAAGGAUGGAUUCGACCUGUACGGCGGUUCUUCCCUUGUUGUCUUGCUAAUGAAGACAUCGCCUGUGAUGUCGAUGAACUUCUCUGGCCUGAUCCAGCUCAGCGAAGAGGUAAUCCCUAAUAUUUUCCCUGCUGGAUUUUUUUCUUUCUUUUUGGUCAAUUUUUUCCCCCACAUAUUUUUAUAGUAUUUUUUUGUUGUUUGUGUGUGUAAUUUUAUUUUUUAGUGUUAUGCACACUACUGUUGUAGCAUGGACAUCUUUUGUUUAAAUUUUGACUGAUUUAGGUAUAUAGAGAGAAAUAAAUUAUAUUUUCAUCCUUCUGCAGCAUUGGUCUUGUGUUGUAUUUGGUGAAUUUUACUGUAUAUUUGCACUCUGUGUGUACUUCACUUGCAUUACUUAAAUCACUGAGAAAUAGGAUUGCUAAAAAAUGUUUUAGGUUAAGCACAGCAGUGUGUAACUGGUUCAGACAGAAUUAAGUCAUAUGAAACGUGUUUUCAUACGGUAACAAAAUAUAAUUUUUAUAAAGUAGUGUAUAGUUUUUACAAGAGUGUUUCAUUUUGCAAAGGAUCUGAGGUGUUCUGCUAAUUGUGUCUAUGGUUGUCCUAAUUGUGUGCAGUGUUUUGAAAAACCGGGUCCUCUACUCAAAAUCGUGCUUAAGCAAUUGAAAAAAAAACUGUAAUAUCGUCAACAGUUUCACUUUUUAUGUACCACUGCCCUCUGUUGGUGGGAAUAGUGACAUGCCUCCAUAAACAAAGCACUGUGCUAUCGACCAAUGAUGUCGACAAAUGAGCUGCUAUGAAGUUCAGGAUGCACGAGCUUUGAAAAAAAUAUGGCUUUGUCCUGAAUGUGUAUACAGAAUAAACUGGUAAUACGAUUUCCAUUGGUGGGUGUAAUAUUUUUCAGUAGUUUAAUGUGAGCCUGUUUGUGAUGGAGAUUCAGCAGCGACAGGGGAGAAAAGAUACAAAAGGUCUCCACUUUCAUCCUGGAUUCUUCUCAGAUGGAACAAUGUCUAUAAGUCAUGCAAAGGUAUGCUGUUUUAGCUCCCUUUAUGUCAGAACCAACUACAUUAGCUAUUUGUAAUAAUGUGGAUGCUAGGCCUAAAGAAUAUUUAUAGGUUAUUUAACUCAGCAUGCAUGUAAAUAUAUGUAAUGUUGUAUUCUGUGCCAUGUAUAGAUAAUGUACGGAUGGAUGUAUUCCUGUAAAGAUCAUUAAGUGUUUUGGGAGUUUGUACUUCUCUUUUUGUUGUUGUUGUUGUUGUUGUUAAGGGUUUAAAGACAAUUAUUUAUUUAAUUAUCUAACAUUCAAGUCACAAUUAAUUGUUAUUUUUUUGAAAUUUAUUAUUCUGCAUGACAAACUGUGUCCUAAGCAUGUGAUUAGGCUCAAAAAUUAAAGCCCAGAACAAUUUUUAUUCUCAUGAAUUCACCUUGACUAAUGAGACUUACGAGGCCAACAAACCAAAGAGAGAUUAUUGGUGAAGUUUGGUUUCUCUGUAAUCCCAUCCUUUAACUCACAGGCUUAGUGAACCCUACAGACAAUAAUGAUUGUUUAGGUGAUAAAUAUAAUUCACAAUAGUUUAGGUGACUAAUGGUAACAUAUCUGUUAUUAACUAUGCCAUCAGCUACUACAUAGAUUGUUAUAAAUUUUAUUCAGCUUUUCAGGGGUGCAGACAAUAGUGUUUGGUUUCUGCUGACUUGAUGGUCAAUGUGAGCAGAUGCUGACUGCAGGGUGGACUAUAAAAAGACUACUGUCAAGCCAGACACAAGCUACUUCCCAUAUGAGUGUUGCCCUCAAUAUGUCAAACUCUUUUUGCAAACUCAUGCACACUGUUUACUCACCCAAAAAUAUGUUGCUCUGCAAGAUUUUAAGGCCAGCCACAAGUUUAAGUUAGUCUUUUGACACAAAUGAAAUGAAAUCUCGGUAAGGUGAAGAAACUAGGACAAUGGUUGAAGGUGCAUGGACUCACAAGUUCAGGCCAAACCUCAUCAUGUUUUUAAUAACAACAUGUUCCAAAGAGGUUCUAGUGAUGUCACAUAAUGUUUGGCCAUUUCAUGUAUUUUAUUGCCACAUAUCUUAAACUUGGAUUCUUCAGCAUAUUGCUCUUUUUUUUAUCAUUCACUAUGAAAUGUUGGUACAUCUUAGCUCAUCCCAAGUGUCUGACCUUGUUUCCCCUCCUAACAAGUGGCUGACACCAUGACUAGACAGCUGUCUUUUGAAAGUACUUUUGCUGUUUGGAAUCUUGCAGUCUGUAUUUAUUCAAUUCUGUGUCUUUGAUGAAAUGGUUUUUCUAUCUCUCAGUGAAUAAAGCUUGAUGUCUGAUUGUG